UGAUCCGGAGUGGAUGCAGUGCCUCGGCCUCAGAGGUCGCCACGUGGCGCAGCCCGAUCGGGGGAUGGGAACCGACCCCAUCGAUCUGGGCCGUCAGGGGGGUCUAUAUAAACCCCACGAGUCUGCCCUAAAGGUCUUGUUUGGCUUCCCCUCAUUUUCGUCGUCUUUUUUCCCUUGUUUUCUCCCUCAACCGAAUUUUGCCGGCGGUGCUCGGAGCAAUUUCUGGCAANNNNNNNNNNAGUAGGUUUUCUUCCUGUUUUCACUAGAGUUUCCUCUUUUCUUCUCCUUGCCAACUUCCAUUUUCUGCUCUUAAUUUUUACUCCAUUCUUCUGUGAGAAUGAGUCUCGGUCCCGAAGAAGUUGGGUCGAAUAUGUCAGAGGAGGAACUGGAGACAAUCCGCUCCCGUUUCUUCUUCCAGCCCGGGUUUCGUCUUGAAACCGCAGGGCCGGGGGACAGGGUGACGCAGCCGUCCUCCGACGCUCAAGUCAGGGAGGGGGCAAAUCGUGUAGAGUAGAGGUAAACGGUGCGUGUCCUCAGUAUCGAUUUUCCAACCCCCUUUUAUAGACCGGGGGUCGGUUUACCUGCGAUGUAACGGGGCGAAGCCGUAGUACGGCUCGGCAUGUCGUUCAGGUCGGCGCUUGGUCAGGCGAAUAAUUGCACUGAUAUCGGCGAUGAGGGCGUUGUACAACCCGAACUAGCACGCUACCAGGCGAAUUUAUUGCAUCAAUGUCGGAGGUAUGGCCGAGAUCAGAGACUUAUCACAGUUGACUAGACUCUGCUGGGCUUAUUUGCCGUGGAGAGCUGGGAGUCCGUAGAUGACAGGAGUCACGUGCAUUAAUUGUUGAGUGAGCCGGAGAUCCACAUUUAUUGUGGAGUAAGCCGGAGAUCCGCAUUUAUUGUGGAGUAAGCCGGAGAUCCGCAUUCAUUGUGGAGUAAGCCGGAGAUCCAUAUUUAUUGUGGAGUAAGCUGGAGAUCCAUAUUUAUUGUGGAGUGUGCCGGAGGAUCACAGCGGUCAUGCGCCAUAAAUGUCAGAGAGGCGCCAUAGUACGGUCUCUGGCCGGACCUCGGAGACGUAUAGCCGUAGUAGGUAGCUGACAAAAGUAGGCCUCGGGCAUUGGGGUUUCUCUUAGGUCGGAGAUUCCGAGUUCGGGUGCCGACUUCGGCC
This 1165-nucleotide long non-coding RNA is filed under the name Phoenix dactylifera (date palm). RNAcentral describes it as "long non-coding RNA (PDAC_LNC006951)". Lineage: Eukaryota; Viridiplantae; Streptophyta; Magnoliopsida; Arecales; Arecaceae. The record is from RNAcentral.